Molecule: ribosomal RNA, 454 nt
Filed under: uncultured microorganism
Description: bacterial SSU rRNA
Rfam family: Bacterial small subunit ribosomal RNA
Source: RNAcentral
GCGCAGCAGUCGCGAAUCUUCGGCAAUGGACGCAAGUCUGACCGAGCGACGCCGCGUGCGGGAUGAAGGCCCUUGGGUUGUAAACCGCUGUCAGAGGGGAUGAAAUGCGAGAGGGCUAUCCCUCUCGUUUGACAGAGCCUCAGAGGAAGCACGGGCUAAGUACGUGCCAGCAGCCGCGGUAACACGUACUGUGCGAACGUUAUUCGGAAUCACUGGGCUUAAAGGGUGCGUAGGCGGUUUAGUAAGUAGGGUGUGAAAUGCCAGAGCUCAACUUUUGGCACGGCGCUCUAAACUGCUAAACUUGAGUGAGAUAGGGGUGUACGGAACUUCCGGUGGAGCGGUGAAAUGCGUUGAUAUCGGAAGGAACACCGGUGGCGAAAGCGGUACACUGGGUCUUAACUGACGCUGAGGCACGAAAGCCUGGGUAGCGAACGGGAUUAGAUAUCCCCGUAGU